GCUUGUCUCAAAGAUUAAGCCAUGCACGUCUAAGUAUAAGCGAUUAUACUGUGAAACUGCGAAUGGCUCAUUAUAUCAGUUAUAGUUUAUUUGAUAGUCCUUUACUACUUGGAUAACCGUAGUAAUUCUAGAGCUAAUACAUGCAUCAACUCCCAACUGCUUGUCGGACGGGAUGUAUUUAUUAGAUGGAAACCAAUGCGGGGCAACCCGGUAUAUGGUGAUUCAUAAUAACUUUCGGAUCGAUCUUCGGAUCGAUGCAUCAUUCAAGUUUCUGCCCUAUCAGCUUUGGAUGGUAGGGUAUUGGCCUACCAUGGCUUUAACGGGUAACGGAGAAUUAGGGUUCGAUUCCGGAGAGGGAGCCUGAGAAAUGGCUACCACAUCCAAGGAAGGCAGCAGG
This 397-nucleotide ribosomal RNA is filed under the name Chrysolepidomonas dendrolepidota. Its description in RNAcentral is "partial small subunit ribosomal RNA". It matches the Rfam family "Eukaryotic small subunit ribosomal RNA", at positions 30 to 432 of the family's 1831-position model. Lineage: Eukaryota; Chrysophyceae; Chromulinales; Chrysolepidomonadaceae. The record is from RNAcentral.